Molecule: ribosomal RNA, 1442 nt
Filed under: metagenome
Description: bacterial SSU rRNA
Rfam family: Bacterial small subunit ribosomal RNA
Source: RNAcentral
CGACGUGGAUAAGGCAUGCAAGUUGAACGACCCCCCACUUUGUUUAUUUUAAUAUUAAAGUAAAUAAAGUGGGGGGGAGUGGCAAACGGGUGAGUAACGCAUUGGCAAUCUGCCCCCAAGACAGGAAUAACUCCGAGAAAUCGGAGCUAAUACCUGAUGGUCUCUUUGUUCAUAAGAACAAAGGGUAAAGCUUUUACGCUUGGGGAGGAGCCUAUGUCUGAUUAGUUUGUUGGUGGGGUAAUGGCCCACCAAGGCUUUGAUCAGUAGCGGGUGUGAGAGCACGACCCGCCACACGGGGACUGAGACACUGCCCUGACUUCUACGGAAGGCUGCAGUCGAGAAUCUUCCACAAUGGCCGAAAGGCUGAUGGAGCGACGUCGCGUGAUUGAAGAAGCCCUUCGGGGUGUAAAAAUCUUUUCUGGUGGACGAACGUUGACGGUACAUCAGGAAUAAGGGGCUGCUAAUCUCGUGCCAGCAGCAGCGGUAAUACGAGAGCCCCAAACGUUAUCCGGAUUUAUUGGGCGUAAAGCGUCCGCAGGUGGUUAUUUAUGUCUUGCUUCAAAUCCUGGUGCUUAACAUCAGGACUGGGCAAGAAACUAAACAACUAGAGGUUGGGAGAGGUGAGCGGAAUGGCCGGUGUAAGAGUUAAAUCUGUUAAUAUCGGCUGGAACACCAAAAGCGAAGGCAGCUCACUAGAACAAACCUGACACUCAUGGACGAAAGCGUGGGUAGCGAACGGGAUUAGAUACCCCGGUAGUCCACGCUGUAAACGAUGGAUGCUAGACAUUGGCAGUAUCGACCCUGUCAGUGUCGCUUCUAAAAAAGCUAACGCGUUAAGCAUCCCGCCUGAGGAGUACGAGCGCAAGCUUAAAACUCAAAGGAAUAGACGGGGACCCGCACAAGCGGUGUAGCAUGUGGUUUAAUUCGUCUCUAAGCGAGGAACCUCACCAAGAUUUGACAUCUGGCCGUAUGUUUUUUUGGAAACAGAAAAUCCUUCAGGCCAAGACAGGUGCUGCAUGGUUGUCGUCAGCAUGUGCUGUGAAGUGCACCCUUAACUGGGGUAACAUGCGCAACCCUCGCGAUGUGUUAAAUGUACACAUUGGACUGCCAAGGUUAACUUGGAGGAAGGUGGGGAUGACGUCAAAUCAGCAUGGCCCUUAUAUCUUGGGCGACACGCAUGCUACAAUGGGAAGUACAAUGGGUUGCCAAACCGCAAGGUGGAGCCAAUCCCAUCAAAACUUCUCUCAGUUCGGAUUGGAGUCUGCAACUCGACUCCAUGAAGUCGGAAUCGCUAGUAAACGCAUAUCAGCCACGGUGCGUUGAAUACGUUCUCGGGUCUUGUACUCACUGCCCGUCACAUCAAGGGAGUCGGCAAUACCCAAAACCCUUCGUUCGAAGGUCUACGGUAGGGCUGGCAACAGGGAUGAAGUCGUAACAAGGUA